Non-coding RNA from Pangasianodon gigas (Mekong giant catfish), 73 nucleotides. The record is from the annotation of a GenBank genome assembly. Lineage: Eukaryota; Metazoa; Chordata; Actinopteri; Siluriformes; Pangasiidae.
GGAAGUUGUGGCCUAAUGGUUAGAGAGUCGGGCUUGUAACCUGAAGGUUGCCGGUUCGAUUCUCGCACUGGCA